Molecule: ribosomal RNA, 429 nt
Filed under: uncultured bacterium
Lineage: Bacteria
Description: bacterial SSU rRNA
Rfam family: Bacterial small subunit ribosomal RNA
Source: RNAcentral
UAGGGAGUUUUCGACAAUGGGGGCAACCCUGAUCGAGCAACGCCGCGUGUGUGAUGAAGGUCUUCGGAUUGUAAAGCACUUUUAUAAGGGAUAAAUGGUAUUGAUAGUGGAAAGAUUAAUAUUUGAUAGUACCUUAUGAAUAAGUAACGACUAACUUCGUGCCAGCAGUCGCGGUAAUACGAAGGUUACGAGCGUUAUCCGGAAUUAUUGGGCGUAAAGAGUGAGCAGGCGGUUUAUUAAGUUUGAAGUCAAAUGGAUAGGCUCAACCUAUUCUCGCUUCAAAAACUGAUAGACUAGAGUAUGUGAGAGGUAAGUAGAACUCCAUGUGUAGCGGUGAAAUGCAUAGAUAUAUGGAAGAAUACCAGUGGCGAAGGCGGCUUACCAGCACAAGACUGACGCUCAGUCACGAAAGCGUGGGUAGCAAAUAGG